RNAcentral lists this transfer RNA (73 nucleotides) under Corallincola luteus. RNAcentral's name for it is "Corallincola sp. DASS28 tRNA-OTHER". It matches the Rfam family "tRNA". Rfam says of the family: Transfer RNA (tRNA) molecules are approximately 80 nucleotides in length. Their secondary structure includes four short double-helical elements and three loops (D, anti-codon, and T loops). Further hydrogen bonds mediate the characteristic L-shaped molecular structure. tRNAs have two regions of fundamental functional importance: the anti-codon, which is responsible for specific mRNA codon recognition, and the 3' end, to which the tRNAs corresponding amino acid is attached (by aminoacyl-tRNA synthetases). tRNAs cope with the degeneracy of the genetic code in two manners: having more than one tRNA (with a specific anti-codon) for a particular amino acid; and 'wobble' base-pairing, i.e. permitting non-standard base-pairing at the 3rd anti-codon position. Lineage: Bacteria; Pseudomonadati; Pseudomonadota; Gammaproteobacteria; Alteromonadales; Psychromonadaceae. RNAcentral also lists the same sequence under 1 other name. The record is from RNAcentral.
AUUUAAGUAGCUCAGUUGGGUAGAGCAGCGAACGAGGGUUCGUCGGUCAUGGGUUCAAUUCCCAUCUUAAAUA